GAUGAACGCUGGCGGCGUGCCUAAUACAUGCCAGUCGAGCGAACAGAUAAUGAGCUUGCUCCUUUGACGUUAGCGACGGACGGGUGGGUAACACGUGGAUAACCUUCCUAUAAGUCUGGGAUAACUUCGGGAAACCGGAGCUAAUACCGGAUAACAUAUUCAACCGCAUGGAUCAAUAGUGCUAGGCGGCUUUGCUGUCACUUAUAGAUGGAUCCGCGUCGUAUUAGCUAGUUGGUAAGGUAACGGCUUACCAAGGCAACGAUCCGUAGCCGACCUGAGAGGAUGAUCAGCCACACUGGAACUGAGACACGGUCCAGACUCCUACGGGAGGCAGCAGUAGGGAAUCUUGCACAAUGGGCGAAAGCCUGACGGAGCCACGCCGCGUGAGUGAUGAAGGUCUUCGGGUCGUAAAGCUCUGUUAUCAGGGAAGAAAAACUGUGUAAGUAACUGUGGACAUUUUGACGGUACCUGAACAGAAAGCCACGGCUAACUACGUG
This 497-nucleotide ribosomal RNA is filed under the name uncultured bacterium. Its description in RNAcentral is "partial 16S ribosomal RNA". It matches the Rfam family "Bacterial small subunit ribosomal RNA", at positions 28 to 507 of the family's 1533-position model. The record is from RNAcentral.